ACGAACGAAAAAGGGAGAGAGUGGGGUGAGAGAAUGAGGGAAUUAGAGAGGUAGAAACGGAACGAACGAAAUAGGGAGAGAGUGGGGUGAAAGAAUGAGGGAAUUAGAGAGGUAGAAACGGAACGAACGAAAAAGGGAGAGAGGGGUGAGAGAAUGAGGGAAUUAGAGAGGUAGAAACGGAACGAACGAAAAAGGGAGAGAGUGGGGUGAGAGAAUGAGGGAAUUAGAGAGGUAGAAACGGAACGAACGAAAUAGGGAGAGAGUGGGGUGAGAGAAUGAAGGAAUUAGAGAGGUAGAAACGGAACGAACGAAAAAGGGAGAGAGUGGGGUGAAAGAAUGAGGGAAUUAGAGAGGUAGAAACGGAACGAACGAAAAAGGGAGAGAGUGGGGUGAGAGAAUGAGGGAAUUAGAGAGGUAGAAACGGAACGAACGAAAAAGGGAGAGAGUGGGGUGAGAGAAUGAGGGAAUUAGAGAGGUAGAAACGGAACGAACGAAAUAGGGAGAGAGUGGGGUGAGAGAAUGAAGGAAUUAGAGAGGUAGAAACGGAACGAACGAAAAAGGGAGAGAGUGGGGUGAGAGAAUGAGGGAAUUAGAGAGGUAGAAACGGAACGAACGAAAAAGGGAGAGAGUGGGGUGAGAGAAUGAGGGAAUUAGAGAGGUAGAAACGGAACGAACGAAAUAGGGAGAGAGUGGGGUGGGAGAAGGACGGAGGUUGCAGCAAGACGGCAGACAUGUUUUCCACAACAGCUGUUGAGCAAACAGAGUGAAGGGGUAGAGGCAAAUCCUACCACCUGCCCUUGUUUUACAAUGACGCCAGGUGACCAAUCAUACUCAGCCAUCAUGCUGCUCACCCUGCCCCACCUGACCACCUGGCCAAUCAAAUCAUUACCUCACAUAGGGGUUGUGACACGUACAAUAUUCCACUUAAUUGACGACCAUAAAUCAUUUUACACUUCAGUCAACCUUAAUGGACUUAUUAGUCCUACUUAUUCAUUACUUCUCAAACCUACUACCUAUAUAGGUCUCUACUUUGACACCCUAUUCCCUAUAUAGUGCACUACUUUGACACCCUAUUCCCUAUGUAGUGCACUACUUUGACACCCUAUUCCCUAUAUAGUGCACUACUUAGACACCCUAUUCCCUAUAUAGUGCACUACUUUGACAUCCUAUUCCCUAUAGGGCAAUCAUUUUGACCAGAGCCUGUUCUGAUCAACUGUACUGCACUAUAGGAAGCAAUAGGGUGUCUUUUGUGAUUGUCACCUCAGCCAACUGAACUGUGUCCAUCUAGCCAACCAAGUAGUAUUCAAUGGUGACAUUUUGAGCAACAUGUGUUUAAGGAAUUUUUUACAGUCCAUUGAAGAGUCAUUGGUAGAUCAAGGCUAGUGUGUGUAUGCUUGUGUGUGUAUGUGCGUGCAUUUGUGUGUGUGUGUGAGUAUACUUGCAUGUGUCCAUGUUUGCACUUGUUUGUAUGUGUGUAUAACAGAUCCCUUUUGUCCUUUCCACUCCUCACACAUGCUGCGUUUACCAUUAUAUAAUCACAGCAGAACCCAGAACUGACACAUCCUCUGGUGGGGAAGAACACAGGAAGAGAAAUAGUAACAGCAGUACAACUGUGUAGUGAUUGGUUCACUGAGACAUAUAGAGAAAUAGUAACAGCAGUACAACUGUGUAGUGAUUGGUUCACUGAGACAUAUAGAGAAAUAGUAACAGCAGUACAAC
This is a long non-coding RNA of Oncorhynchus tshawytscha (Chinook salmon), 1719 nucleotides long. The record is from Ensembl. NCBI's taxonomy places the organism in Eukaryota, Metazoa, Chordata, Actinopteri, Salmoniformes, Salmonidae.